GGCGGCGGCGACUCAAGAGGAGGAGGAGGCCCGAAGCUACUGCGCAUGCGGGAACUUGGCCCUUGCCGGGCGGGGCUUCAACUGAAAGCGGCGCCUGUGUUUGGGCUGCUCUCCUCCCGAAAUUCUGUAAUACAGGGUGCCGUUUUAUGUCAUCGUCAUGUUAUACUUCAGGCAAAGGCUGUAUGGAUAACUGAGGACAAGCAUUUCCUAACAAGAACAUACAUUUAGAGCAAAAAAUAUUUACAACUAGGAUUUCAUGUUCUUCUAAAAAUGUUUAAAUGGUAAGGUUUAAAAGGACAUUUAAAUAGAUUACAUUAGUUAGAAUACAGAGAAGCAAGAUGACAUGAGAUGUGAGUGAUAAAAUAAGGGGAAAGUACAUUGUUUCAGACUUGUCUUGACUACAGUUGGCUUUUAAUGGGAACCCUUUAUGGUAAAUGGAUCGAUAUUUUAUAGAUACUGAAACAGAUACUUUGAUGUAUUGUUUAAUUCAAAGUAAUAAUGCAUUAUAGCUAAGUUAGUUUAUUGCUUUCUGGUUUUUAUUUUUCAUCCAAAACAAUAAAGUUUACUUAGGAUACUUCACUUCUGUGAAUAGCAUUUCUUCUAACAGUAACCAAAUAAGACAGAGAAAACUGUAACUUUCCAUAGUCUUUCUAAAUGAAAAGCAUCCUGAAUAGCUGACUUAACACUGUGUUUUAUUUCCAUAAUAAUGUGUAAAAGACUAAAGAAAAUAUUUGCUGUUGCAGGAUAUGCACCUGGAUUAUUAUCGUCUUGUUAUAUUAAACAUUAGCUUUAUUGAGUUUUGUAUAAUAAUGAUAGGUGAAGGUUUGCUGUAACUGCAAGAAUUUCAGCAAAUGAGGCAGAGUUGUUUAGCAAAAAAGAUGAAUUUGCAGUUCACCUUUAAAAUAGGUUGCAAGGCCCCACUGCAAUCGUCAACAUACAAAGUACCCUUUCUUCAAAACCACUUUCUGCCCCAUCAAGUUUUGUUUUUCUGUUUUCAAAGAAAUGCAGCUGUCAGGUCCCAGAGGAGAGGAAAAAAUUAAAAUAGCUCCUGGACCUGCUGAAGUUUCUGAUGCCCUCAUACAUAUAUAGUUUGUAAUCAACUUAUUGUUAUUGUUUAAAGUUCGCAGUGGAAGAACAUUACAAAUCUACCAUAUAUAGAAACGGAAAGUGUGCAUCAUGUAGGUCUUGUAUAUAGCAGCAACUGGCAGUUGUUUUUUCCAGGGACUGUACCAUAUUUAUGCCCAUAGACUACAACUGUUUCUUUCUUUUCUGAAAACUCACUAGGGACUGUCAGCCAAUGGCUUGGGAACUGGCACAUGUGCAGAUGCACACCGCCAUUUUAUUCUACCAAGACUGAGACUACGGACUCCAAGUCCAUGAAAAGGGAGGGACCUUUUUAUUACAAUAAUAAUUCUAAACAGAUUUCUCUCCACAAAGUUCAGUUUUUUUCCCUCUGGGCUUUUGGCAGAAUCUUUAAGCAGCUUCCAGGAACGGCACAGAAUUAUGGAACUGCAUCUUUUGAUGAGGUUAUGUACUUUGUUUCAAUAUGUUUAAUUAAGGAGUAAUGCUUCAGUUCUAAACAAAUUACUGUACAGCAGUACUGCAAGGCUGUACAUGUUCAGUGAUGAAUGCACUCAAAAUGGAUAUUAAUAAAAAGCAUCUUUAUUUCAGCUCACAAGUUUGUAGACACACAAUAGUUUUAAAUUACUAUUGGUUUAUUUUCAUAUAACACUAGCAAACUGUUACUGGUAAUCCUCAAAAUAUCCAAGGGCAGUGUUAUUGAUACACCAUAUAACAGAAAAUUGGUUAGGGCUGUGAUAAUUCAAAGGCAUAACCAUAGCCUGAAACGCAUGGGCCAAAAAAAGCAGCUUCUGGCCACUUUGUGGGCAUGGCACUUACAUGACGCAUGCCCCCAAAGUGGCCAGAAGCUGCCACAAAAAGGGGCCAGUUAAACCCAGCUCCUGGCAGGCUAUCUGCUUUGUCCCUGUAUUAGUCUGGAUCAGUAUGCAAGAGGAUCUUGUAGCAGUCAGUAGCUGGAAGAAAGAAGUUGGUCACAUAAGCUUUCAUAGACUUAAGUCUACUUCCUCAGAUGCGAGGAAUUAGACAUCUGAGGAAGUCUAUGAAAUUUUAUGCUACCAGCUUCUCCCAGUUAGUUGCAAAAUGCUAUAGGAUCCCUUUGCUUAGGCCAAGAAUAGCCCCACCUACCUACCUUAAGGAAGAUUUCUGAAAUUCAGUAGCAAAUAGGGUCACUUUAUAAAGUGCAGGAUGGAGUUAGAGCAUCCUCCCACAGUACACAGCCCUGGGAAACUGCAGCUCAUGGUGUCGUUUUCCUUUCUAAAGUGAAAGGAUAGGAAGGAAUUGCCAUUUCAGAGGUGGAUAGUGCUGUUCACCACUACUGAUUCUGCAGUGGCAUAGGUGCUAAGAGGGAGGUAAAAAGACAUUUGGGACCUAUAUGCAACCCGUGUGUUGCCCACUCCUACUCUGGUGCAGUACUAGUGACAUUCUUGGAAAUUGUUACUUUCUAAUUCUCAGCACCUGUUUUGUCAAGAUGGCAAUAUUUAUUAGAUUCCUGUUUCAUAAAAUUACAGAACAUUGUUUCAGUUUAAGCAUAUGAGGUUCCAUCUGUAACUUUCAGAUGCAGACAUUCCCAAUGCUUAUGUUACCAAAGCAUUUGUUGAAAUCAAAGGUGCCUUACAAUUUAGCGUGCCAUGUCAGUCUGCUAGAUACAGUUAUACCCCUAAAUAUCUCCACAUCAACUCCAGAUCAACUUUUUCCCUUUGAACCACUGGGGGGGCAGGCUGGAACUCUGGUUGCAUUUCAAGAGUCCCACAAGUUUCCUAAAUGAUAAAGUCAAAAUAAUUUUAUUAAUUCAUUCAAAGUAUGCCCACUUUAUCCUCCCUUUCAAAGUAUUUCCAGAGUGGUGGUUCAAAUGAUAAAUGAAAAAGUAGCAGUAAAAUCAUAGUAUUACCAAAAUGGAGCAAAGAAGUGAUUUAAUUUAGGGGGGUUUAUAUUAAUCUGGAAUGGGCUUCUUGGAAUUGAUUUUUUCAACAAUAUAAACUGUUGACAUUUACAUUUCUGAAAUAAUAGUAACAAAGUGAAUGGAAUAUUUAAUUUUCAUUGUUUGCUUUUCUUUUUCUUUGUAAUAAAAAUACCUCCAACAAACCUG
Long non-coding RNA from Sceloporus undulatus (fence lizard), 3166 nucleotides. RefSeq lists it as uncharacterized. The record is from RefSeq and is a predicted model, not a curated record. The transcript has 3 exons. NCBI's taxonomy places the organism in Eukaryota, Metazoa, Chordata, Lepidosauria, Squamata, Phrynosomatidae.